UGAGGGGUGAGGGAAAUGUGGUCGCCUAAAACACCAUCAAAGGUUGCUGCUUAAACACUUCCCUCAGCCAUAUAUGAAGGCUAAAUCAGAUAAAGAUCCCAGGAAGUGUGCAACAGGAGAACCAGUGACACAAUCCACCUUGGUAUGAGUGUCAGCCAUCUUGUCUUUCAACUGGAAAGCUAGAAGUGACAGGCACAAGAUUCAAAGGAAGCAGGCUGCUUUCUUGCAGCAAGACAAGGCAAGUUGGAAGAGAGGAUUAUUUUUCUUCUUCAAAGCUCUCACCCUC
RNAcentral lists this long non-coding RNA (286 nucleotides) under Homo sapiens (human). RNAcentral describes it as "long non-coding RNA NONHSAT178430.1". Lineage: Eukaryota; Metazoa; Chordata; Mammalia; Primates; Hominidae. The record is from RNAcentral.